This 253-nucleotide ribosomal RNA is filed under the name uncultured bacterium. Its description in RNAcentral is "partial 16S ribosomal RNA". It matches the Rfam family "Bacterial small subunit ribosomal RNA", at positions 524 to 776 of the family's 1533-position model. The record is from RNAcentral.
UACAGAGGUCCCGAGCGUUGUUCGGAUUCAUUGGGCGUAAAGGGUGCGUAGGCGGCGCGGUAAGUCGGGUGUGAAAUCUCGGGGCUUAACUCCGAAACUGCAUUCGAUACUGCCGUGCUUGAGGACUGGAGAGGAGACUGGAAUUUACGGUGUAGCGGUGAAAUGCGUAGAGAUCCGGAGGAACACCGCAGGCGAAGGCAGUGUCCUGGCGCGUACCUGACGCUGAGGUGCGAAAGCUAGGGGAGCGAACGGG